This 236-nucleotide ribosomal RNA is filed under the name uncultured bacterium. Its description in RNAcentral is "partial 16S ribosomal RNA". It matches the Rfam family "Bacterial small subunit ribosomal RNA", at positions 100 to 334 of the family's 1533-position model. The record is from RNAcentral.
UGGCGGGACGGGGGAGUAAUGUCUGGGAAACUGCCCGAUGGAGGGGGAUAACUACUGGAAACGGUAGCUAAUACCGCAUAACGUCGCAAGACCAAAGAGGGGGACCUUAGGGCCUCGCGCCAUCAGAUGAACCCAUAUGGGAUUAGCUAGUAGGUAAGGUAACGGCUUACCUAGGCGACGAUCCCUAGCUGGUCUGAGAGGAUGACCAGCCACACUGGAACUGAGACACGGUCCAG